Neogobius melanostomus (round goby) is the source of this 3783-nucleotide long non-coding RNA. The record is from Ensembl. Lineage: Eukaryota; Metazoa; Chordata; Actinopteri; Gobiiformes; Gobiidae.
AUGCCAAGAGCGUACAGUAUGAGCUCCCCAAGUGUGUGGACUGGAGGAACCCGCGGCAACCUGCUCCAGCAGAAGAUCCUGGGACAAUUGGGGGAAGCAUCUGGACCAGCAGUCCCUGGGAGUGUGCGUGUACCUCGGAGCCACUGGUGCUGCCUGCUCCUCUUCCUGCACAUGUACAUCUGUGUGGGCGCAAUGGCCUGGUGUCUACUCACCACCGUCACCAAGAUCAGUUUCAAUCAGGGCUGGGUAUGGGGACCAUUCAAUUCUUUUGAUACCAAUAUGAUACUUUGUUUACAACUCUGGUAUCUGAAUAAUACCUUCUUUUUAUACCUACACUACAUUAUUUGUUUUCUUCAACUAUAGUGCACAAGUGAUACAUUUAUCUAUUGAAUUAAAUUAUUAUAAUUUAUUUUCAUUUUACUCAUUUAUUUAAGCUGGAACAAUCAAGUACUAUACUUUCUUUAGAGCUGUCUCAGGACCUACCAGGCAUUAAAACUUGUAUCAAAGAGCAUACUUGUUUUAACAAUACCCAGCCCUAGUUAAAGCCCUAGUUUGGGGCCACUGAUAUACCAUGACAGCUACAUGUACGUCGCUCUGGCCUUCAUAUACUCGAUGUGCUGUACAUGGUGAAAUGCUGGCACAGUACAGCAGUGAGCUGCAGCGUACAGCUGAUGUUGACAGUGACUAUGAGUGUGUACUAAGGAUGCAAACAAGCCCAGCAUCUGGUGGAAAGCCACUUUUCCAGCGGACUCAUUAGGUGACUCAGUAUUGAAGUGGUGAAGUGGCUUGCAUGAUCACGCACCUUGCCAAAGGGAGUUUGGCUAAAACCGCUGUGGAUUGAGAGACGUCUCUCAUGACCUCAAGGAUUAGAAGUGCACAUGGUCACAAGACUUUGGUUAAGGUGCUUUAUUUGUCAUUAUACAACUGUACAACGAUAUCUGUUCUUUGCUUUUGAUCCAUGCUUUGUUGCUGCUGGGUAAAAACUUGCAGUGGGCAGCUGUGUGCAGCACCCUGGGGCCCAUCUCCAAAUGUUGAGCCAGGCUAAUGGUCAGAAUCACCUAACUUAUUGUGCAUGUUUGUUUUGCCACCUCACUAAGUCCUUAUAUCAGUUAUACUGAGUCAGGCCCUGAAAACCAUUUUUAAACCAGAGAGCAAGAUGCUUUUCUGAAGUGGAGGGUUUGUAUGACAACAUCAUGCAGAAAAAUGAACUUUAGAGAGAACUUGAUUGUUUGUGUCUACUGUGCAACAUUGAGUAGAAAAUGGUUUGGCUUGGAGUACAAUCCAGGCUCCCCUAGCCAAUAUAACAGACAUCAUACAGUAUCUAACAUAAAACUGUUAUUCUGAGAGAGAGUUGACACACUGGUAAGCAUAGAAAUGGAGUGGCAUAUCUGCUGUUAUAGACAUCAUUCCUAGCAAACUCUUAGGCUAUGCUGAUGAACAUACUGUAAGCAGCACCCACUCUCUGACUGCUCCUCCCCUUCAGAUUUCUUCUGCUGGACCAAAGCCAGACCCCGCUCAGGAGCUUCAGUUGUUCUCUCUCUUCUCAUUUUAUGAAACACCUUCCCUCUCGCACCCAUGCUUUGGUACCUCGCACUCAAGCUGCAGCAGCUUCAGUCCUGGUUGCCAUAUUGCAGAGAUGAGCAGCCCUGUCAGCCCAGAGUGAGUCUUCUCUCUUAGAGUAAUGCACACUUCUUCCCCUGUUCUGAUUGUUGCACAAUCAGGGGUCAGGGGAAGCAAGAGCAGAAAUGUGCAGACAGCCUGAGCAGCUGAGACAGCACAGACAGCACUGUAACAAAAACAAACGUAGUGUCCUGUUGAUCUUCCAUUACUGAAUCAAGUAGACCAGUCCUGGGUUGUGGGUUCCAAUGCAAGCCUUUGGCCGUUUUAAGGAACGUCCACAGUGGCACACCUAACUGGACAAAUUGCGCUGCCGCUUCUAUCUGGUCGCUUGAAAGGCUUAUAAGUCGCUCGCAUUUGUUCACUUCGCAUUUGUUCACUGCUGCUGCAUGAUUCUGUGGAAAAAAACUCUGCGCUGUUGCUGCUAAGAUGUGAAUGAAAAUGGUGUCCUGUCUUUGGUGAUGAGUGUAAUAAUUUUACUGCCUUUUUCUGACACUUAAGGCAAAUCUCGCCGCUUUCCUCCCUCCUGCCUCUACUGGGUAUUAUUUCAAUAUAUGUGGUUUGGACUAGGGCUGAAAGAUAUAUAUCGUUAUCGUAUCGAGAUAUGAACAUUCAAGAUAUUAAUAUCGGAAAAGCAAUGAUAUAUCGCUUGUUAAAGGAUAACAUUAAAUCGCUACUUAUCAUACUGGGUCAAGCUGUAAAGUCGUACUAUCUCUGUCAUAGCCUUGACUGUGGUGCUCAGGCGCCCACUCUCAGCCACUGAAUGUUUUGCUUGCGUAUCAGUUUGACGCUCUUAGACGGUAUUUAUCCCUCUUCUGUGGAAGCAUAGACAGACUUGAAUGGUAGGACUAGCGCAAUGUCUCGAGUUCAUGUCUCCGAGUCCCGUAACGAUGGUAAAUAAACUCCUGUAUAAGACAUCCAGACUGCUGCCUAUUCUUCAUCUAUCCUCUCGAACACCAUUGUUAUUUCUCUAACAUCGCUAUCGUAUUGAUAUCGAGAUAUGAACAUUCAAAACAUUAAAAUAAAAAAAGCAAGAUAUAAACGAUAUAGAUUUUCAUCAAUUAAACUGCACUUUUUAUUAUUAUGUUUUUAUUUUUCUGAAAAAUGCUUGGUUUUCACCUAACCUAGCCUGGUUUUACCAUACCCUCGUACUAAUUUUGUUUCGUACAAGGGUCUGGAUCUUCACAAUUGAGCUCCGUUAACAGGUGGGAGGGGUGAACUCCUUUGAAACGAUUGGAUCUGAUUUUCGCUAGCGUUUGGUGUAUGUAAUGUGCCCGAGAGAGUGAAGCAGCUAUCAUAACUCUUGGGAGCAUUCCUUUAUCCAAGGCUUCAAUUUUAAUUUUUGGAUAUUUGGGAGCCGAGCCAGAACGAAUGGAAGAGCUUCCAUUACUUUUGUAUCCACUGCCAUUGCCGAACUACAACCGGCAAAUGCGGCGCAAAUGCUUGACGUCGCCUACAACACCAGUCUCCCCGCUCGCUGAAUGGUAGAACAAAACAUGUUUGUGAUCUAGUGCGUCCUUUAUUGCAUCCGCGUCUGUGUUUUCAUAAGUUUAUUGAAGUGUAUAAUUCCUCUGAUCUGAAUGCCUGGGCUCGGGAAAGGCAUUUCAAACCACAGCUGCCGCUUGUCAUAAAGCCUCUCCUCCUCUUUUCAGACGGUGUUUCCGUUUCACUUGUGUCUUUAUGAUGUAGUAGAUGUGGUUAUGUUGCUCCAAAUUCAGAUGAUCUAUACGGCACGGUAGUUCACAGCUUCUCACAGCAAGAAGGUCCCGGGUUCGAUUUCCACCUGGACGGGGCCUUUCUGUGUGGAGUUUGCAUGUUCUCCCCGUGUCUGCAUAGGUUUCCUCUGGGUACUCCGGUUUCCCCUACCACUAAAAACAAGUACUAUAGGAUAAAUGAUGUGUGUGUGCGUGGCGCAGAUCUGUGCAGUCGCGACAGCACUUCUGUCAGUCUCCCCCAGGGGAAACUGAACAUCACAGAGUAUGGAGUGAAUGUAUAAUUGUCUCAUGUAAAGCGCUUUGUGACUUUGUCUGUGAAAGGCUCUAUAUAAAUAAAGUUCUUCUUCUUCUAUACAUUUUUCCUGAAUGUGUAUUUGGAUACUGAUCACACCGCCCUUCUGCACCUGCCGCCAUGCGCUGUAAUACACGUGGGCACGUAUUUCACAUUGAC